This 71-nucleotide transfer RNA is filed under the name Minisyncoccota bacterium. Its description in RNAcentral is "tRNA-His". It matches the Rfam family "tRNA". Rfam says of the family: Transfer RNA (tRNA) molecules are approximately 80 nucleotides in length. Their secondary structure includes four short double-helical elements and three loops (D, anti-codon, and T loops). Lineage: Bacteria; Bacillati; Minisyncoccota. The record is from RNAcentral.
GUGGCUAUGGUGUAGUGGCAGCACGAGAGUCUGUGGAACUCUUAGCGAGGGUUCGAAUCCCUCUAGCCACC